Molecule: ribosomal RNA, 533 nt
Filed under: uncultured bacterium
Lineage: Bacteria
Description: bacterial SSU rRNA
Rfam family: Bacterial small subunit ribosomal RNA
Source: RNAcentral
GAUCUGGUCAGGACGAACGCUGGCGGCGUAGCCUAAUACAUGCAAGUCGAACGGCUUUUCUAUGGAAGCUUGCUUCCACUGAAAAGAUAGUGGCGAACGGGUGAGUAACACGUGGGUAACCUGCCCAUAAGAGGGGGAUAACAUCCGGAAACGGGUGCUAAUACCGCAUAGUUUUCUUGAUCGCAUGAUCGGGAAAGGAAAGACGGCCUUUGUGCUGUCGCUUAUGGAUGGACCCGCGGCGUAUUAGGUUAGUUGGUGAGGUAACGGCUCACCAAGACGAUGAUACGUAGCCGACCUGAGAGGGUGAUCGGCCACAUUGGGACUGAGACACGGCCCAAACUCCUACGGGAGGCAGCAGUAGGGAAUCUUCCGCAAUGGACGAAAGGUCUGACGGAGCAACGCCGGCGUGAGUGAAGAAAAGGUUUUCGGAUCGUAAAACUCUGUUGUCAGAGAAGAACAAGUUGGAGAGUAACUGCUCCAGCCUUGACGGUAUCUGACCAGAAAGCCACGGCUAACUACGUGCCAGCAGCGGC